AGGACGAACGCUGGCGGCGUGCUUAACACAUGCAAGUCGAGCGGUAAGGCUCCUUCGGGAGUACACGAGCGGCGAACGGGUGAGUAACACGUGAGCAAUCUGCCCUUCACUUCGGGAUAACUCCGGGAAACCGGUGCUAAUACCGAAUACGACCACUUCAGGCAUCUGAUGGUGGUGGAAAGUUCCGGCGGUGAAGGAUGAGCUCGCGGCCUAUCAGCUUGUUGGUGAGGUAACGGCCCACCAAGGCAACGACGGGUAGCCGGCCUGGGAGGGUGACCGGCCACACUGGGACUGAGACACGGCCCAGACUCCUACGGGAGGCAGCAGUGGGGAAUAUUGGACAAUGGGCGAAAGCCUGAUCCAGCAACGCCGCGUGAGGGAUGACGGCCUUCGGGUUGUAAACCUCUUCAGCGGGACGAAGCGAAGUGACGGUACCGCAGAAGAAGCACCGGCCAACGUACGUGCCAGCAGCCGC
This 475-nucleotide ribosomal RNA is filed under the name uncultured bacterium. RNAcentral's name for it is "SSU rRNA". It matches the Rfam family "Bacterial small subunit ribosomal RNA", at positions 26 to 518 of the family's 1533-position model. The record is from RNAcentral.